Molecule: ribosomal RNA, 393 nt
Filed under: uncultured bacterium
Lineage: Bacteria
Description: partial 16S ribosomal RNA
Rfam family: Bacterial small subunit ribosomal RNA
Source: RNAcentral
AUACGGAGGAUGCGAGCGUUAUCCGGAUUUAUUGGGUUUAAAGGGUGCGUAGGCUGUGCGUUAAGUCAGGGGUGAAAUGCCGUCGCUCAACGACGGAGCUGCCCUUGAUACUGGCGUGCUGGAGUACGGAUGCCGUUGGAGGAAUGAGUGGUGUAGCGGUGAAAUGCUUAGAUAUCACUCAGAACACCGAUUGCGAAGGCAUCUGACGAAUCCGUCACUGACGCUGGGGCACGAAAGCGUGGGGAUAGAACAGGAUUAGAUACCCUGGUAUUCCACGCCGUAAACGAUGAUGACUAACCGUCGGCGAUAGACAGCCGGUGGCCAAGCGAAAGCGAUAAGUCAUCCACCUGGGGAGUACGUCGGCAACGAUGAAACUCAAAGGAAUUGACGGGG